UACGUAGGGGGCAAGCGUUAUCCGGAAUCAUUGGGCGUAAAGAGCGUGUAGGCGGCUCGAUAAGUCUGCUGUGAAAGUCCAGGACUCAACCCUGGAAGGCCGGUGGAAACUGUCGGGCUAGAGUCCGGAAGAGGCGAGUGGAAUUCCUGGUGUAGCGGUGAAAUGCGCAGAUAUCAGGAGGAACACCCAUUGCGAAGGCAGCUCGCUGGGACGUUACUGACGCUGAGACGCGAAAGCGUGGGGAGCAAACAGG
Molecule: ribosomal RNA, 253 nt
Filed under: uncultured bacterium
Lineage: Bacteria
Description: partial 16S ribosomal RNA
Rfam family: Bacterial small subunit ribosomal RNA
Source: RNAcentral